GAGUUUGAUCCUGGCUCAGGACGAACGCUGGCGGCGUGCCUAAUACAUGCAAGUCGAGCGGAGAAAUGGGAGCUUGCUCCCAUUUCUCAGCGGCGGACGGGUGAGUAACACGUGGGCAACCUGCCCUACAGACUGGGAUAACUCCGGGAAACCGGAGCUAAUACCGGGUAAUACAUAGCAUCGCAUGAUGCAACGUUGAAAGUUGGCCUUUGGCUAACACUGUAGGAUGGGCCCGCGGCGCAUUAGCUAGUUGGUAAGGUAACAGCUUACCAAGGCCACGAUGCGUAGCCGACCUGAGAGGGUGAUCGGCCACACUGGGACUGAGACACGGCCCAGACUCCUACGGGAGGCAGCAGUAGGGAAUCUUCCGCAAUGGACGAAAGUCUGACGGAGCAACGCCGCGUGAGUGACGAAGGCCUUCGGGUCGUAAAGCUCGGUUGUUAGGGAAGAACAAGUACCGUUCGAAUAGGGCGGUACCUUGACGGUACCUAACCAGAAAGCCACGGCUAACUACGUGCCAGCAGCCGCGGUAAUACGUAGGUGGCAAGCGUUGUCCGGAAUUAUUGGGCGUAAAGCGCGCGCAGGCGGUCUCUUAAGUCUGACGUGAAAAGCCCACGG
RNAcentral lists this ribosomal RNA (618 nucleotides) under uncultured Bacillota bacterium. Its description in RNAcentral is "bacterial SSU rRNA". It matches the Rfam family "Bacterial small subunit ribosomal RNA", at positions 9 to 608 of the family's 1533-position model. Lineage: Bacteria; Bacillati; Bacillota. The record is from RNAcentral.